UUCAUGGGAGACAGCUCCCUACCCCCACCUCCAUACAGCUCAGUCCCUCAACACUAAGGCCUCUGAGAGAGGACAGGAGGGAAGGGAAAGCUUGAAAACAGUUUAAAAGAAAAACACAGAAAAGAUAACUCUCCUGGAAGCCAGUUGCAGAAGGUGAACUUUGAUUUUAUAGCACGUUUUGCCCUUAAUGAAAGGAGGAAGUGAAAGGCAUUACGUUAUGCUCAGUCAGAAGAGAGGCCUGAAUUUCCCCUGACUCCACCAUGAUAUCCACAAUGAAGUAAAACUGAUAGAAGAAGAAAGUGGGCUGGUGUGAGACCAGAGAGAAGAAAAAAGAAGAAAGGAGUGGAGAGAAACUCAGCGGCAGAGAGAAAAAGGAAGCUAUGCAUUUAGUACAGAGGAAGUGACAGAAAUGGUGCCAGAAGAGAGCUUGUACCUCCAGUUUGGACCCCGUUUUUUCAGUGAGAUUGACUGCUGUGCUCUGGGAGCUGGACAUGUGUGAGUCUGUAGGUGAGGAACAGCACACCAGGGCCCCGGCUCAACAUCUUUGUAACCAGAAAGGUCACAGCCCUUUCAGAUAGCUGGUGUGAUUCCCAUUUUGAGAGAUGGGAACAAUCUGAAGAAGGUGAACAUCCUGAUCAAGCUCCCACAGCCAGUUCAGGUCUCUGGGAAGCAUGUGAAGACUGUCCCGGCUUUCGUGCCAUCGGGUCCUGGGUUUGAAUUCCUGUUUUGCCACUGAUAUCCAGGAGAUCAGAGAAAUUUAUGUUUCCACUCUGAGCUUCAACAUCUGCAUCUCUUAAGGAACAUAAUUCAUACCUACCUCAUGACCAUGAUGGUGAAGAUUUGGAUAUGAUAAGGACUGUGAUGUCUAGGUACUGAAAAAAAUGCAUAGGGAUUCCCAGAUUCCUCCUCCUCUUUUCCUCUCUGACAGUUCCUGAAAUCUCACCUCUCUUGUAAGUAGAUUCUUGAAAGCUGGAGCCAGAUGACUGAUACAGGUUUUGUGUGAAGAUGAAAGAAUUUUAAAAUAAAAUAUUGGUUAUCUA
Cervus elaphus (red deer) is the source of this 1040-nucleotide long non-coding RNA. RefSeq lists it as uncharacterized. The record is from RefSeq and is a predicted model, not a curated record. NCBI's taxonomy places the organism in Eukaryota, Metazoa, Chordata, Mammalia, Artiodactyla, Cervidae. The transcript has 5 exons.